This 512-nucleotide ribosomal RNA is filed under the name uncultured bacterium. RNAcentral's name for it is "bacterial SSU rRNA". It matches the Rfam family "Bacterial small subunit ribosomal RNA", at positions 15 to 518 of the family's 1533-position model. The record is from RNAcentral.
GAUCCUGGCUUAGGAUGAACGCUAGCUACAGGCUUAACACAUGCAAGUCGAGGGGCAGCAUUGGAGUAGCAAUACUCAGAUGGCGACCGGCGCACGGGUGAGUAACACGUAUCCAACCUGCCGCUUACUCGGGGAUAGCCUUUCGAAAGAAAGAUUAAUACCCGAUGGUAUAAAGAGUUCGCAUGUUCUCUUUAUUAAAGAAUUUCGGUAAGCGAUGGGGAUGCGUUCCAUUAGAUUGUUGGCGGGGUAACGGCCCACCAAGUCUACGAUGGAUAGGGGUUCUGAGAGGAAGGUCCCCCACAUUGGAACUGAGACACGGUCCAAACUCCUACGGGAGGCAGCAGUGAGGAAUAUUGGUCAAUGGACGAGAGUCUGAACCAGCCAAAAGUAGCGUGAAGGAUGACUGCCCUAUGGGUUGUAAACUUCUUUUAUAAGGGAAUAAAGUGAGGGACGUGUCCCUUUUUGUAUGUACCUUAUGAAUAAGGAUCGGCUAACUCCGUGCCAGCCGCUGC